AGUGAACGCUGGCGGUAGGCCUAACACAUGCAAGUCGAACGGCAGCACAGAGGAGCUUGCUCCUUGGGUGGCGAGUGGCGGACGGGUGAGGAAUACAUCGGAAUCUACUCUGUCGUGGGGGAUAACGUAGGGAAACUUACGCUAAUACCGCAUACGACCUACGGGUGAAAGCAGAGGACGUUCGGGCCUUGCGCGAUUGAAUGAGCCGAUGUCGGAUUAGCUAGUUGACGGGGUAAUGGCCCACCAAGGCGACGAUCCGUAGCUGGUCUGAGAGGAUGAUCAGCCACACUGGAACUGAGACACGGUCCAGACUCCUACGGGAGGCAGCAGUGGGGAAUAUUGGACAAUGGGCGCAAGCCUGAUCCAGCCAUACCGCGUGAGUGAAGAAGGCCUUCGGGUUGUAAAGCCCUUUUGUUGGGAAAGAAAUCCAGCUGGCUAAUACCCGGUUGGGAUGACGGUACCCAAAGAAUAAGCACCGGCUAACUUCGUGCCAGCCGCCGCCGUAA
RNAcentral lists this ribosomal RNA (506 nucleotides) under uncultured bacterium. Its description in RNAcentral is "partial 16S ribosomal RNA". It matches the Rfam family "Bacterial small subunit ribosomal RNA", at positions 29 to 523 of the family's 1533-position model. The record is from RNAcentral.